Molecule: RNA transcript, 5482 nt
Organism: Pyrgilauda ruficollis (rufous-necked snowfinch)
Lineage: Eukaryota; Metazoa; Chordata; Aves; Passeriformes; Passeridae
Gene name: alpha-1,6-mannosyl-glycoprotein 4-beta-N-acetylglucosaminyltransferase-like
Exons: 5
Source: RefSeq, a predicted model, not a curated record
CCGGCGGACGCUCCUCCUCUGCGGGAGGCAGGCAAGGACUCGGGGUGUGGCUUUACCGAGCAAGAAUUCAGAGUCCGGCCAGCCUGGGGAAGUUGCGAGGGCCGAGCACGCUGGAGAGGCGAGGCUGCCGCCCACCCGUGAGUCUCUGCCCUCGGUGGGUGCGUCCAGAGGAGGCUGGCCAGGAGCCAUCUCCUGCUUCCAUGGGAGCGGGUGCCUGGGGACCGGGGAUGAGGGCAGGGGGCUGGGCUGGGGGUUCCCCAGCUGUCAGCGGUGGAGACAGGAUCGGUGUGUCCCUCCCUGCAGGGACCUCCCUGUGCUGUGGGACACCUGAACCGACCGAAAGCUUUGUCCCCCGGAGCCGUGUGCUACUAGAAGAGGGUAUUUCCCCUCCUUUGUCCCUGUAGGACAACCCCUGGAGCAGAGACACGUACAGUGGGGCCAGACCCUGGCCUGACUCCCAGGGGGCCCAGGAGCCCCCAUCCCCCACAGUCCCGAAUGGCCACAGUUUGCCCAUGGGGGCCGUUGUGCUACCACGAUUUGCAGUGUCCCCCACCCAUUUCUGGUGCUGGGUUCCAUGCCAGCCCUUUCCAUCCCGGGGACCCUCAGGGCGGGGCACUGAGCUGUGCUGCAGGAGAGCUGGUGUUUACCCUGCUGGGUGACACAGCCUUUGUCUGUGCCUCAGUUUCCCCCAGCAUGGAAAGGCACUCCUGGCUGUGGGAAGAGACCCCUUGCUGGUCCCUUCUCAUUGUGCAACCAGCCCGGCUCUCCCCAGUGCUGGUGGAAGCAGCUGGAGCUGCCUGCACACCGGGAGCUUCCUCCGAGCCUCGUGGGACUGAGGCUGGGAAUGGACUGUUCCUUCCCCCUGCCCUGGACUGAGGCUGGGGAGGAGUUUGGCUCCACACAAGUGGCUCUCAGCUCCUCCUGGCCAAUGUCCCCACAGUGAGGUGGCUUUUGGGGACAUCUGCAGUGGGGUGCUGGGCUGUGGGGAAGGUGCAUGAGGUGCUUGGAGCAGAGUGUGGGGUCAGGGAUACUCUCUGGAGGUACUUUGAGCUGGAGCAGAAGGAUGCUGCACCCCUGGUUGUGCCCACUUACUUGGGCUGCUUUGUUCCUCCAUGGAGGCAGAAAUCCAAAGUCCAAUUACGGGGUUAAUUAUGCAGCUGCACUCCUUACCUUCUGUUCUGUGCCGGUGACCCCUGUUCCCCAUGGGCUGCCUGCUCCUUGGGUGAAGCUGCUCCUGUGGGAGCUGAGGGUGCUCAGCAGCAUCUUGUUUUCCAUGCAGGAUGAGCCGCUAGCAGCCAGACAUUCCCCAGCAGCCAGAAAAACCUUUGGCCAUCCAGAGUGGCCAAAUGCCCAGCCUGGCAUGUGGCCAGGUCUCGCCCUUCCCAGCUCACCCCGUGGCCCUGGUUGUAGAUCCCGGAGGUCCAGGCUUGGAAAUCCACGUCCAGGGUGGCAUCAGGGUGUGAUGUCCCUGUGGCUCGGACAGAUCCCUAAUGCUGCUCCCCCUGAGCUGGUGAGGUCCCCCAUGUCUCCAGAUCUGUAAGGGAUGGAGAGGCCACACUCUCUGCUGGGACCUGGGAUUUUGACAGAGAUUUUUGAGCAGCUCCAGGAGCUGCUUGUCUGCUGCGAGUCAGCCCUGCCCUGCCGGGGAGCGCGGCUCUCUGGCUCCGAGUGUUUAUCUCCAAGGGAGGAGCCGUGUCCCUGGGCGGGGUCAGUGCUCCAAGGGCGAAGUGCCUGUGGAUCGGAUCGGGGCCACCUGCUCGGCGCCAGCCUCUUGGGGAGCUGGCAACCCCUCCAGAGGACUCCUGGGCGCAAAAACGAGGGUUCUCCUUAAAAUAAGCCCAGCACACGCUUCAGGGCAGUGGCCCCAGAGGUGCUGUGCUCCAGUCUGUGGGCCCGCGGGUGGGCUCAGAGCAUCCCCUCCACAGCGGUGGUUGGGGCAGGAAAGUAUUUAGGGCACCGUCCUAGGAAGCCCAGCCUUAGUUUGGGAAUGCUUAGGAGGGCUUUUCCUCCACGUUUCCAUUCAAAGCUGCUUUGACAAAGCCAAGUCACUGUAAACAGUUUGGAUGGGGCUCAGGGUGUCUGCCCCUUCAAGCUGGGCACUUGCCCAGGCUCAGCUGCUUCUCUUCCAGGGCAGCAAUGUCAUAUUUAUAAUGGAAAAAAACCAGGCAAACACAGGAGCCUUUUAGCCUCCUGCCACAACUCUACAAAGUACAAUAUCUCAAGUUCACUGCAACUUACUUGAAGGUGACACUAUCCCCUCAGGCUCACUUUUCUUGCUGGGACAGGGCAAGCUGGUGCCUGCCUGGAGGAAAGUGGGGAGCUGCUUCCUCCUCACAGUGCUGGAAGAGCACCCUGGGCCCAUUUGAGACCUGAGUGUUUCCCAGGGCUUGGUGACAAAUCCUGGGGUGUUGGUGACUGGUCGUGGCGUGUCUCCAUGACCCAAAAGUUUUUUCUGAGGCCCUGUCCACCUGCAUUUCUUCUGCUUCCAGCUCCGGAGUGCUGCUUGGGGUGUCCCAGGGCAGCCGAGGUGUCCUGGGGCUGGUUUGGAGAGAUUUUGUGCCUGGCUGAUUUUAUCCUGGUCAGGUUGGGGUGUCCCUGUCCCUGCCUGCCCAAAGGGGACAGUGCACAAGUGUCCCCUGAUGCCCCAUGGCUGCCCACAGGUGUGUACCUGUGGGUGCUUGGAGCAGGGGGUCAGUCCCAGGGGUGUAUCCGGGUGCUGUCCCAUUGUCCUGUCCUGGGGGUGGUGGCUUUCCACAGGCUGUGCCCUGACAUGUCCCCUCUCCCCAGGCCUCAGCCAGCAGGGGCCAUGCGAUGCUCCCUGAAACGCUCCCUCAUGGUUCUGCUCGCUGCCUCCUUCCUCCUCCUCCUCCUCCAUGGGGGCAGUCGGCAGGAACAGGAUCCCCUGGAGGUGCAGCUCAGCCUGGCUCCCUUGCAGGACACGAUCCUGCAGCUGCUGCAGCCAGAGGGAGCCCAGCACAUCCUCAGGGACACAGCUGAGCUCUCUGCACUCCACAACAUCUCCUACCGGCUCCUCGCUGGCUCCCCGGCUCCCCGAAAAAAAUUCCUGGCAGUGGGAAUGUCAUCUGUGCAAAGGCCACGUGGCUUCUACCUCCUGGCCACGCUCCAGUCCCUCUUCAGCCAGUCUACAGAGGAGGAACUGCAGGAGAUGGUGGUGGUGGUGCACCUGGCUGACACUGAUCCUGGCUGGAAUGUGCGUGUUGCCGCCACCAUCGCCCAGAAGUUUGCUCGCCACAUCCUCCUGGGACGGCUCCUGCUCAUCCAUGCUCCCCCUGAAUUCUACCCCACCCUGGAAGGCCUGAAGAGGAACUUCAACGAUGCAGAGGAGCGGGUGAGGUUUCGCUCCAAGCAGAAUGUGGACUAUGCCUUCCUGCUUGCCUUUGCCGCCAACCUCUCCUCCUACUACCUGAUGAUUGAGGAUGACGUGUGGAGCGCCAGGUCCUUCCUGACGGCCAUCCGCAGGGCAGUGGCUUCCCAGGAGGGCUCCAACUGGGCCACCCUCGAAUUCUCCAAGCUGGGCUACAUUGGAAAGCUCUACCGCUCCAGUGACCUUCCUCGCCUGGCUCAAUUCCUCCUCCUCUUCUACCAGGAAAUGCCCUGUGACUGGCUGCUAGUCCACUUCCGCCAACUGCUCACUCAGAAGGACGUGAUCCGCUUCAAGCCAUCCCUCUUCCAGCACAUGGGCCUCUACUCCUCCUUCCAGGGCACCAUCAACCGGCUGGAGGACGAGGAUUUCCAAGCCGACGCCUUGGACCUCCCAGACAACCCGCCAGCAUCCCUAUACACCAGCAUGUCCAUUUUUGAGAACUAUGAGCCCCUCAAGGCCUACAGUUCGGCACAGGGGUACUUUUGGGGCAAAGACCCAGCAGCUGGCAGUACUUUUUCCGUCGUGUUCCAGCAGCCAGCCCGAGUCAGCCGUGUCCGGGUGCGCACGGGCUCCGUGGAGCGCCCAGGUGAUUUCCUGCGUGCAGGGCUGCUGGAGCUGGGCCAGCGCCGGGACCGCAGCCGGGACUGCUCCUCCUACAUCCCUGUGGGCUCCUUCGAGAAGGGAACCCUGGAGCAGCGGGGCCUGGAGAGGGUCCUGCCUGGGCCCGUGGAGUGCGUGAGGAUCCGGGUGACGCAGGACCAGAGCGAGUGGCUCAUCAUCCAGAGCAUCGACAUCUGGACCACAGCAGGCACUUAAGCAUAACACCUGUGGCAGGAUGUCAAAGCCCCUGGAUUUGGUUCCUUUAUUUUUCACAUUGCCGUUUUGGAUAAGAAAUUAAGUUAUUGGCUCUCACUGGUCCAUGUCUGGAGAGAUGGGAACCACUGAUGUGGGCUGUGGAUGGGUUUAGGAGCAGGGCACAUCAGAAUGUACCUGCUGGAGGAUGCCCCAAUGAGCCAGGGAGGGGGGCACAGGAAGGGAAAGGGGCUUGGAUAUCAAGGCUGAGCAGUAGAAAACCUUUCCUCCCAGGAAGGAUGAUGUACAGGACAAAGCUGAUCAGCCAAUUAACAAACCAAAUAAUUAAUCAGGCAGUGGUAUUUUUUGGAGCCUCUCCACACCUUACCUGCUUUAAGUUUUCUAACCUUUUCCAAAACUCGAUUUCUAACUCCCCCCUUUCUGAUCCCAUUUCCUAGCUGCUCCUGGAGGGGUCAGGGGAAAGUCUGGGGGUGCUGCUCACCAAAUCCUUCACCCUGCAGGUUCAGCAGGUUCGUGGCCGCAGCAAGCUCCCACUGGUGCCCGGCCGUUUCCCGGUGCCGAUCGGGGGCGACGGCCACCAGAUGGACCCAUCGGCCCGGCCCCGAGCACCGCCUCCCCCGGCGCUCCUUGUUCCCGCCCUCGAAGGGAAAAAAACAAUUCCCAGGGACCUCACUUUGUGGUUUUGCGGGGUUCACACGGAGCGAGAAGGACAGUCAAGAUGGGGCUUCUAGAAAGAUGGACAAACCAAAUUCAGGCCACCUGCUACAAAGUCCCCUCUGCCUCUGAGGGCAAGGCUUGCCUUGGGGUCGUUACACAGAACUCUGAAUAUUCCAUGUGCUUCUGCAUGAUGUGCAGAGAUCCAAAUGUUCACCUGUGAAGAAGAAAUUUAUUCCUGAAUCUCAGCUGAUGCCAGCCAGAAACCAACACAGAUCCCAACAACGCUCCUGUCAGAAGAGCUUCCACCCUGUACAGCCACACAUCUAAACUACCCCAGCCCUGCAAAAAUAUUGCUGAUUUCCUUACAACUGGACUUGCAGAAAACCUCCUGUUCAUCUCUUACUACCCUGGAGCCCAGCUGCAGAUAUUUUGGUGCUGACAGUUUUGCUCACUAAAAGAUGCAGAACUGGGUGACCUAAAGCAAUACACUGGGGCCUCCCUGCUGCAUUGCCAUGAAUGGCAAAUCAUUCAUCUUCUGACACUCAAAGUCUUGCUGCUGAAGGGAAUUAUGUAUUUUCCCGUCAAGAGCUAUGGGAAAGGGGUGGAAUAUUCCAAACCAAUUCCUAA